RNAcentral lists this ribosomal RNA (382 nucleotides) under Salmonella enterica subsp. enterica. RNAcentral's name for it is "partial 23S ribosomal RNA". It matches the Rfam family "Bacterial large subunit ribosomal RNA", at positions 2543 to 2925 of the family's 2925-position model. RNAcentral also lists the same sequence under 2 other names. Lineage: Bacteria; Pseudomonadati; Pseudomonadota; Gammaproteobacteria; Enterobacterales; Enterobacteriaceae. The record is from RNAcentral.
CAUCCUGGGGCUGAAGCAGGUCCCAAGGGUAUGGCUGUUCGCCAUUUAAAGAGGUACGCGAGCUGGGUUUAGAACGUCGUGAGACAGUUCGGUCCCUAUCUACCGUGGGCGUUGGAAAUUUGAGAGGAUCUGCUCCUAGUACGAGAGGACCAGAGUGGACGAACCUCUGGUGUUUCGGUUGUGACGCCAGUCGCAUUGCCGAGUAGCUAUGUUCGGAUGGGAUAACCGCUGAAAGCAUCUAAGCGGGAAGCCCACCUUAAGAUUAGAUUUCCCUAAAGAGCCGUUGUAGACUACGACGUUGAUAGGUUGGGUGUGGAAGCACAGCGAUGUGUGUAGCUAACCAAUACUAAUUGCUCGUUUGGCUUGACUAUACAACGCCUAA